GAAUCUAGCUUCAGGUCUGGGACAACCACUGGAAACGGUGGCUAAUACCGGAUGUGCCGGAAGGUGAAAGGCUUGCUGCCUGAAGAUGAGCUCGCGUCUGAUUAGCUAGUUGGUGGGGUAAAAGCCUACCAAGGCGACGAUCAGUAGCUGGUCUGAGAGGAUGACCAGCCACACUGGGACUGAGACACGGCCCAGACUCCUACGGGAGGCAGCAGUGGGGAAUUUUCCGCAAUGGGCGAAAGCCUGACGGAGCAAUACCGCGUGAGGGAGGAAGGCUCUUGGGUUGUAAACCUCUUUUCUCAGGGAAGAACACAAUGACGGUACCUGAGGAAUCAGCAUCGGCUAACUCCGUGCCAGCAGCCGCGGUAAUACGGAGGAUGCAAGCGUUAUCCGGAAUGAUUGGGCGUAAAGCAUCCGCAGGUGGCUGUGUAAGUCUGCUGUCAAAGAGCGAAGCUCAACUUCGUAAAGGCAGUGGAAACUACACGGCUAGAGUGCGUUCGGGGCAGAGGGAAUUCCUGGUGUAGCGGUGAAAUGCGUAGAGAUCAGGAAGAACACCGGUGGCGAAGGCGCUCUGCUAGGCCGCAACUGACACUGAGGGACGAAAGCUAGGGGAAUCA
Molecule: ribosomal RNA, 617 nt
Filed under: uncultured cyanobacterium
Lineage: Bacteria; Bacillati; Cyanobacteriota
Description: bacterial SSU rRNA
Rfam family: Bacterial small subunit ribosomal RNA
Source: RNAcentral